CCUACGGGAGGCAGCAGUGAGGAAUAUUGGUCAAUGGACGAGAGUCUGAACCAGCCAAGUAGCGUGAAGGAUGACUGCCCUAUGGGUUGUAAACUUCUUUUAUAAAGGAAUAAAACGAGGCACGUGUGCCUUUUUGCAUGUACUUUAUGAAUAAGGAUCGGCUAACUCCGUGCCAGCAGCCGCGGUAAUACGGAGGAUCCGAGCGUUAUCCGGAUUUAUUGGGUUUAAAGGGAGCGUAGAUGGGUUGUUAAGUCAGUUGUGAAAGUCUGCGGCUCAACCGGAAAAUUGCAAUUGAUACUGGCAGUCUAGAGUACAGUUGAGGGAGGCAGAAUUCGUGGUGUAGCGGUGAAAUGCUUAGAGAUCACGAAGAACCCCGAUUGCGAAGGCAGCUUACUAAACUGUGACUGACAUUGAUGCUCGAAAGUGUGGGUAUCAAACAGGAUUAGAUACCCCUGUAGUC
RNAcentral lists this ribosomal RNA (460 nucleotides) under uncultured bacterium. Its description in RNAcentral is "partial 16S ribosomal RNA". It matches the Rfam family "Bacterial small subunit ribosomal RNA", at positions 338 to 795 of the family's 1533-position model. The record is from RNAcentral.